RNAcentral lists this ribosomal RNA (482 nucleotides) under uncultured bacterium. RNAcentral describes it as "partial 16S ribosomal RNA". It matches the Rfam family "Bacterial small subunit ribosomal RNA", at positions 30 to 507 of the family's 1533-position model. The record is from RNAcentral.
AUUGAACGCUGGCGGCAUGCUUUACACAUGCAAGUCGAACGGUAACAGGCCGCAAGGUGCUGACGAGUGGCGAACGGGUGAGUAAUGCAUCGGAACGUGCCCAGUCGUGGGGGAUAACUACUCGAAAGAGUAGCUAAUACCGCAUACGAUCUAUGGAUGAAAGCGGGGGACCGUAAGGCCUCGCGCGAUUGGAGCGGCCGAUGUCAGAUUAGGUAGUUGGUGGGGUAAAGGCUCACCAAGCCAACGAUCUGUAGCUGGUCUGAGAGGACGACCAGCCACACUGGGAUUGAGACACGGCCCAGACUCCUACGGGAGGCAGCAGUGGGGAAUUUUGGACAAUGGGCGCAAGCCUGAUCCAGCAAUGCCGCGUGCAGGAAGAAGGCCUUCGGGUUGUAAACUGCUUUUGUACGGAACGAAACGGCUCUGGUUAAUACCCGGGGCUAAUGACGGUACCGUAAGAAUAAGCACCGGCUAACUACGUG